RNAcentral lists this ribosomal RNA (304 nucleotides) under uncultured bacterium. Its description in RNAcentral is "bacterial SSU rRNA". It matches the Rfam family "Bacterial small subunit ribosomal RNA", at positions 30 to 332 of the family's 1533-position model. The record is from RNAcentral.
AUUGAACGCUGGCGGCGUGCUUAACACAUGCAAGUCGAUCGGUAACAGGUGUAGCAAUACAUGCUGACGAGAGGCGGACGGGUGAGUAAUGCUUGGGAAUCUGCCUAUUAGUGGGGGACAACCCGGGGAAACUCGGGCUAAUACCGCAUACGCUCUACGGAGGAAAGCCGGGGACCGCAAGGCCUGGCGCUAAUAGAUGAGCCCAAGUCGGAUUAGCUAGUUGGUAGGGUAACGGCCUACCAAGGCGACAAUCCGUAGCUGGUCUGAGAGGACGACCAGCCACACCGGAACUGAGACACGGUCC